RNAcentral lists this ribosomal RNA (447 nucleotides) under uncultured bacterium. RNAcentral describes it as "bacterial SSU rRNA". It matches the Rfam family "Bacterial small subunit ribosomal RNA", at positions 330 to 793 of the family's 1533-position model. The record is from RNAcentral.
CUAACACUCCUACGGGAGGCAGCAGUGGGGAAUCUUGCGCAAUGGGCGAAAGCCUGACGCAGCCAUGCCGCGUGAAUGAUGAAGGUCUUAGGAUUGUAAAAUUCUUUCACCGGGGACGAUAAUGACGGUACCCCGGAGAAGAAGCCCCGGCUAACUUCGUGCCAGCAGCCGCGGUAAUACGAAGGGGGCUAGCGUUGCUCGGAAUUACUGGGCGUAAAGGGAGCGUAGGCGGACAUUUAAGUCAGGGGUGAAAUCCCGGGGCUCAACCUCGGAAUUGCCUUUGAUACUGGAUGUCUUGAGUGUGAGAGAGGUAUGUGGAACUCCGAGUGUAGAGGUGAAAUUCGUAGAUAUUCGGAAGAACACCAGUGGCGAAGGCGACAUACUGGCUCAUUACUGACGCUGAGGCUCGAAAGCGUGGGGAGCAAACAGGAUUAGAUACCCUGGUAG